GAACCAUCUCAAGUGGGUCUACCUCUUCGCCUUUUUUUGUUGUUGUUGUUGCUUGGCUGCACUUCUGACCGGGCAGGCAGUGAUGAUGUUUGUUUAUGAGUUAGGUCUGACUGUUCGUUGGUGCUUAGGAUCCCCACCGGGUCCCUAGGGCCUGUGCGUACCGCGCACCUGUGCACGUCUUGCGCGCAGCUGCAGGCGACUCCGCUCUGGCUCGUCGCUGCUAUUUCCUGCUGGGGGUGCAGACCCUGUCCCAGGCUAGCUGGGUGACUUCCCCCAACCGCAGAGACAGCGGCGACCCGGGGCCUCAGACCUGCCCCCGCAUCCCGCCGGCGCCAGGCAGUGGGAAGUCAGGUUCUUCCGCCACCUCCCAGCCAGGCUGAAGAUCCCCCCCUUUGAGAAGGCCCGCUCGGUCCUGGAGGCCCUGCAGCAGCGCAGGCCGAGCCCGGAGCUGACCCUGAGCCAGAAGAUCAGGACCAAGCUGCAGAAUCCAGACUUGCUGGAGCUAUGUCACUCAGUGCCCAAGGAAGUGGUCCAGUUGGGUGAGGCCAAAGAUGGCAGCAACCUCUGCUUCAGCAAAUGAUUGUGUAACCCUGGGGCACUUGUCCCUCUCUGGACUUGAUUCACCGAUUUGGAAGUUUGUAGCCCCAGCUGUUACUCAAUGGACUAGGCCUCCUCACUUGUCAAUAGUGUUUCCAGGCUGGGCGCAGUGGCUCGUGCCUGUAAUCCCAGCACUUUGGGAGGCCGAGUGGGGUGGAUCACCUGAGGUCAGGAGUUUGAGACCAUCCUGGCCAACAUGGUGAA
This 801-nucleotide small RNA is filed under the name Pongo abelii (Sumatran orangutan). RNAcentral's name for it is "processed transcript". Lineage: Eukaryota; Metazoa; Chordata; Mammalia; Primates; Hominidae. The record is from RNAcentral.